CCUACGGGGUGCUGCAGUGGGGAAUAUUGGACAAUGGGCGAAAGCCUGAUCCAGCCAUGCCGCGUGUGUGAAGAAGGCCUUCGGGUUGUAAAGCACUUUCAGUUGGGAAGAAAGCCUUGGGGCUAAUACCCUCGAGGAAGGACAUCACCCACAGAAGAAGCACCGGCUAACUCCGUGCCAGCAGCCGCGGUAAUACGGAGGGUGCGAGCGUUAAUCGGAAUUACUGGGCGUAAAGCGCGCGUAGGCGGUCUGAUAAGCCGGUUGUGAAAGCCCCGGGCUCAACCUGGGAACGGCAUCCGGAACUGUCAGGCUAGAGUGCAGGAGAGGAAGGUAGAAUUCCCGGUGUAGCGGUGAAAUGCGUAGAGAUCGGGAGGAAUACCAGUGGCGAAGGCGGCCUUCUGGACUGACACUGACGCUGAGGUGCGAAAGCGUGGGUAGCAAACAGGAUUAGAUACCCGGGUAGUC
RNAcentral lists this ribosomal RNA (465 nucleotides) under Vreelandella stevensii. RNAcentral describes it as "partial 16S ribosomal RNA". It matches the Rfam family "Bacterial small subunit ribosomal RNA", at positions 338 to 795 of the family's 1533-position model. Lineage: Bacteria; Pseudomonadati; Pseudomonadota; Gammaproteobacteria; Oceanospirillales; Halomonadaceae. The record is from RNAcentral.